GUUGAUGAGAAAAACAGAAAUGCACUGCUCAGGAAUGCUGUGUCUGCUCUGUUUCUGGAGAGCCCGACCACGUCCCGCCGCCAUUGUGAGUGAAGCCGUGCCGUACCGGAACUGGGACUCGGCCCCCACCUGCUGGCCGGAGGAACAUUAUCCCGCAAAACAAGGACUCGAGCAUCAACACCUGGGCCGGAGCAGCAAUCCCCGGACUGGGUCAGGGAACAUCCGGACGGGAUCAGAAAAACCUGGACUGCAGCAUCGAGACCCGGACUAGAGCAGCAGAACCCGGACUUGAGCAGGGAAACCUGGACUGGAUUUGUCUAGACAGACAUAUUACGAAGGAGAUUGAGGAGACUCACUGGGACAAAGUGAUUAUGAUGAAACAUGUGAAUACCAGGAGCCCAAAUUUAAAGCUCUGAAGAAGAGUCAUAUGGACUCGAAACGUUAACUCCACGCUAAUGGAAGUCAGGUCUGGGAGAUUCAGGCUGAGUGGACUGGCUUUCGAAGGAAACCGGGAGUUCCUGGUCUGAAAGGGAGUAAUGAACCUGCUGGAAAGCUGGUGAUAACUUAGAACUUGUUCUUGCAAAGCUACAUAUCUGCCAGGUGUGAGGCACACACCAAAAGGGGUUGUAAGGCAUAUCUUGUUUGCGUUAGACAAUGUGAAAGUACCUUUUCUUUAGCUUGAUGCAUUAGUUGCCUGUUAAGUGAUGUUUAAUUUGUGUUGAUUUUGGUUUGUUUGUUACAAUAAAAAUUUUUAAACAUGAAAA
Carcharodon carcharias (great white shark) is the source of this 764-nucleotide long non-coding RNA. RefSeq lists it as uncharacterized. Lineage: Eukaryota; Metazoa; Chordata; Chondrichthyes; Lamniformes; Lamnidae. The record is from RefSeq and is a predicted model, not a curated record. The transcript is spliced from 4 exons.